Molecule: long non-coding RNA, 1017 nt
Filed under: Homo sapiens (human)
Lineage: Eukaryota; Metazoa; Chordata; Mammalia; Primates; Hominidae
Description: HSALNT0321781
Source: RNAcentral
CUGGUCGCGCUGUGCCGGGUGUGACACUACGUAGCCACUCUCUAGGCUUAUGAACUGAAAGACCAAGGAGCACAAUUUCCGAGUUUCAAAGAUACUUUCAAACUGAAAGGAACUGUUCGCCAGCUGCUCGCGAAGUGGCCCAUGUGACCCCUAGUGAACGGUCUAAACUUCCGCUAGAUGCUUUGGGAAUUCGUAAAGCGACUGCGUGCGCGGCAGCCAAGCCACAGCUUUACAGGGUUCGCCUUCUGUGUGGGAACGCAGCUUUUCCCGAGAAAUUGGGUUAGGGAUUAAAGAGAAGAACUGCAUCCUUUUUACUGCCCUUUUUCCACGUCUGUCCUGGGCUUAGGGCCCUCCUCAGAGGCCAGAGGGGUAGGCGAGUCCGGGGCGGUAGGGGGCUGCGUCCGGAAGUCCAGGCUGCGUUCUGUCCACCCUGCCCACCCUUAGGGGGCAGGACAGGAAUAAGGUCACCUCACCAAAGAGGCCCAUCAACAUGGAAGAAUAUUUCAGUGAAUCUUGACUCACCAAGCUCAGUGACUUUUCAUUGAAAAGGGAGAGCAGAUUACAUUAUCAAAAGCACCAAGUUGAAACAUUUGCAAGGUGAGGAAACUGAGCACUAAGACACUAAAUAACUUGCCCAGGGUCAUACGACAGACAUGAGAGGUUUAUAUCAGGCAGUCUCCACCCCUGUUCCGAAGUCAAGAGGCUGACUCGGGUUGCUACUUCUUGACAGACCGGACCCCAGAUCGCCGAAGACCAUUUGGACACACUUCUAUCAAAUCCUGGCGGUCUCCUUCUAACAGGGAGUGGGAUGCUGCUCUAAUGAUACCCCGAAAUGUGGAAGUGACCUUGAAACUGUUUAACAGGCAGAGGUUGGAACUGUUUGGAGGGCUCAGAAGAAGACAGGAAGAUGUGGGAACGUUUGGAACUUCCUAGAGACUUGUUGAAUGGCUUUGACCAAAAUACUGAUAGUCAUAUGAACAAUGAAGUACAGGCUGAGGUGUUUUCAGAUGGAAAUGA